GAGGAAUAUUGCUCAAUAGGUGCAAGCCUGAACCCGCCAUCCCGCGUGAAGGACGACAGCCCUGUGGGUUGUAAACUUCUUUUGGAUAGGGAUAAACCUACCCUCGUGAGGGUAGCUGAAGGUACUACACGACUAAGCACCGGCUAACUCCGUGCCAGCAGCCGCGGUAAUACGGGGGGUGCAGCGUUAUCCGGAUUUAUUGGGUUUAAAGGGUCCGUAGGCGGACUUAUAAGUCAGUGGUGAAAGCCUGUCGCUUAACGAUAGAACUGUCAUUGAUACUGUAAGUUUUGAGUAUAUUUGAGGUAGCUGGAAUAAGUAGUGUAGCGGUGAAAUGCAUAGAUAUUACUUAGAACACCAAUUGCGAAGGCAGGAUACCAAGAUAUAACUGACGCUGAGGGACGAAAGCGUGGGGAGCGAACA
RNAcentral lists this ribosomal RNA (420 nucleotides) under uncultured Cloacibacterium sp. RNAcentral describes it as "bacterial SSU rRNA". It matches the Rfam family "Bacterial small subunit ribosomal RNA", at positions 356 to 774 of the family's 1533-position model. The record is from RNAcentral. Lineage: Bacteria; Pseudomonadati; Bacteroidota; Flavobacteriia; Flavobacteriales; Weeksellaceae.